GAUGUAGGGCGCGAGCGUUGUCCGGAUUUAUUGGGCGUAAAGAGCUCGUAGGCGGCUUGUCGCGUCGGCUGUGAAAACCCGUGGCUCAACUGUGGGCGGGCAGCUGAUACGGGCAGGCUGGAGUUCGGUAGGGGAGACUGGAAUUCCUGGUGUAGCGGUGAAAUGCGUAGAUAUCUGGAGGAAUACCGGUGGCGAAGGCGGCAUCCUGGACCAUUACUGACGCUGAGGCGCGAAAGCUAGGGGAGCAAACGGG
Molecule: ribosomal RNA, 253 nt
Filed under: uncultured bacterium
Lineage: Bacteria
Description: partial 16S ribosomal RNA
Rfam family: Bacterial small subunit ribosomal RNA
Source: RNAcentral